This 253-nucleotide ribosomal RNA is filed under the name uncultured bacterium. Its description in RNAcentral is "partial 16S ribosomal RNA". It matches the Rfam family "Bacterial small subunit ribosomal RNA", at positions 524 to 776 of the family's 1533-position model. The record is from RNAcentral.
AACGUAGGGGACAAGCGUUAUCCGGAUUUACUGGGCGUAAAGCGCCCGUAGGCGGCCUGACAAGUUGGACGUGAAAGCUCCUGGCUUAACUGGGAGAGGCCGUUCAAAACUGUCAAGCUAGAGUCUGGAAGAGGAGAGCGGAAUUCCCGGUGUAGUGGUGAAAUGCGUAGAGAUCCGGAGGAACACCAGUGGCGAAGGCGACACGCUGGGCCGUACCUGACACUGAUGCGCGACAGCAUGGGGAGCAAACAGG